RNAcentral lists this long non-coding RNA (240 nucleotides) under Populus tremula. RNAcentral describes it as "long non-coding RNA (PTRE_LNC001235)". The record is from RNAcentral. Lineage: Eukaryota; Viridiplantae; Streptophyta; Magnoliopsida; Malpighiales; Salicaceae.
AGGACUAUUUUGCUAAGUAGAAAGUUCCAAGAUGAAACCAUCAAAAUUGAAGUCGACAUGCCUAGUAUUUCAGAUGAUGAUGAUAAUGAUGAUGAUGAUGAUGAUGAUGCCAAGGACGCAGAUGUCUCUAGCAUUCCGUUGGUUGUGAGUAUUACCAAGGGAAGCGGUCAGUAUAUGGAGUUCUGUAUCACUGCUUUCCUUGAUGAGAUUUCGAUUGAUAGCUUGUCAAUAAAAACCCUG